CAUUAAUUAGUCAAGGCUGCUCUCCUCUCUGAGGUUUGAAAUCAUAGAAGCAUCAAUCUAGGUGCAUUAGAUGUAGUAAAACCUCUGAGAGGUCUAAUGGAUCUGACUACCCGUGAUUGUACUUUUGUUCUUGCAGGCUACAAUUCAUCUUUCAGAAGUCUGGGGACAUCAAACAGAAAAGCGCCUCCCCUGCCUCCAUCCUUUCUUAUCUGCCUCUUACGGACAAAAAUGCUCCUAUUUUGUGAAUUAAAUCAAAAUGGACUACUUGUUCAUUGAAGCUGCUGGCAAGCAUCGCUGCAGACUCAACACUGUGGAACAACCUUUGGGACAAAGAUUGCUCCCCACGGAAAUUUCUCCAAGAUGAUCUUCCUUUACAACAAGUAUGGAUGGCCGGAUUGAGUUAUAAGGUCACCUUCAUGUUUGAGAUAGAAGAUCAUAGACUCUUAUGGUGUCAAGUUGAGUGGUGGAUUGGCCCAGGUGAAAAUUUGAGGAAUCUUCUGGGGCUGAGAUCCCAUGGCUCAGCAUUUGUUCUUUUAACCAGCUUCAUCCAGCACUUACCAGUAUGAUUGGUUGACAAGAGAAAUAGGAGUAUAUCUAAGAGAAACGCCACUACUUAACCACCAUGCCUCCCAUUUUAUGGAUUCUCCUACAACAAGGACCUUGUUCAUAGAGGUUAUUGGCAAAGAAUUUUCAAACUAAACCACAAGAAGUUUGGAGAGACUGUUGGGACAAGGUAAUAGGAAGGCCACAAUGCUGCCAUCAUUUCUUCAAGCUGCCCAUGUUAGAUAAGGUAAUCUAUUUUGUGGAUUCUUCUAAAAUAAGGACCUCAUCCAUAGAGGUUGUUGGCAGAGAACUUUCCUACCAAACGGACUUUAAUACAGAUAGACUGUUGGGACAAAGCUAGCUUAGAACACUGUAAAAAAAUCCCUGAUUGUGCAUCCAGAGCCUACUUGAAGACCUUCAAGGAUCUUAGGAGAGCAGUAUUGUCUUUGUAGCAAACGGAUUCUGGUUUAGAAUAACUAUUGAUUCGCCCUAAGAUUUGCCUCUCACCAAUCCAUGUCAUUUCUCUGCGAUGUUCUAGAUUUUCCGCCUUUUUUUCUUAGGGGAAUCGAAUGGCUGGCCUUGAAGUUACUCUCUUUUUGGAGGUUCUAUAACAAAAAAGGUUUUUCUUACACUGAAUUUGAAGUAGUCCAACAUCAGAGAGAUCUUUUAGGCUGUGGUAUAAUUUUUUUUAACCAUCGCAUCCGAUGCAUACCUUAGCUAUUAGUUUCAAUUGAAGAGCUCCACGUCAGGAAUAGCAUUCUUGCCACCAUUUUCUCCGCGUGCCCAGUUCUACCUGCUCCAUUUUCUAGAUUAUAGGAAAUGUUACAUUUUGUGCAGUGGUGGCUGUUGGAGAAAAACCCUCCCAGUUCAAUAUCCAAGAGUACAGAGAUGGUUGUCACAAGAACCAACCACUUCUGCAACUCUUGUUGCUUUGUCCAGAUAUUCCUUGUGUCCUACUCCUUCCUCAUGCAAGCCCUGAAUGUCAAAAGAUACUGGCAUCUCUGAUAUCAAUACUAAAUUGACCUCUUCUAUGUAUAUUGAGAACCAAUAUUUUGAGGAUCAAAGAUGUAUAUAUAUUAUCCUAACUUGGAGCCGACAGUCUUCUAUUUCAGAAUGAAGUUUUGGGGGCAUCUGCAAUGAGUGAAUUUACUUCAAAUGACUGUACAUUAUGAAGGAUUAGCUUUUAUUUUUUGUUCUUGUUUUGAAAUGUGGAAGGCGUAUGCAGUCAGAAGAUGAGAAAACUAAGUGCUUGUUAUAAUCCAUGUAGAAUUGAAUUGGCCAUUUAUUUUUGACCUAUGUUUCAAAAGAUGUUCUUUUUUUUAUCAAGGCGAUGGAUUAGUUGAACUAUUAGGUCACUGCGAUCUAGGGGAAUGGAGUAGUGUAUGCUAUAUUGAUUGCUUCAUUAGUUGGAUCCAAGGUCUCUGAAAAAUCUGUAACAUGCCUACAGUCCCAUGAUUACAUUUAGGCUUUUCCAGCCAACUUCCUUCAGUACUAAUGUCUGCUAUCAGUCCUUCAGAAUAGUGAACAUAUGAACGAGAAAAGAAACUCUUGGGGACCUUUCCUUCCAGUCAAAUCUGGACAAGGUUCUUUGUUCUGUGAAUUCUCUACAAAACAAUGAUCCUUUCCACCCUUCUGUGGACAAUUCUGAGCAAAGAAAAAUGAGGUCCACUGAGGCCAUUGGUAAAAGUGCUCUGUAGCUAAACAAUGAAGAAUAUGAACAAUGUUGUGACAAAGUCUGCUAGCCUACUAACCCCCUGAUGAGUGGGCAUCCAAACUGUUACCUCGAGCCCUCACCAGAACCAUAGCUUACAACUUCCUAUCUCAAGCACCUAUUCUCUUCUAUUCCUUUUAGAUGUCCUAUUUGGAUACUGCAUUUUGCCUAAAGGCUGCUUGAAUAAUGGAGGAUGAUGGCAAAGCACUUUGCAACCAAAACUCCCAAGACCACGAUUCCUACCCUAUAAUAUCCCUUGAUGAUUGAUGGUCCAGAAGAUUCUAAAUUUGCCUUACCGAUGUAUGGAGAGGACCAUCAUUAGAGGAUUAUUCACCUUAAAACUAAGGUGUGAUUGCUUUAAGAUGCAGAAUGAGAUUUGCACAGUGCCAAUGAGGUCAGUUGCUUUAUUUCACCAUAUAUAUUUGGCUUUUAGGAUUAAAAAUUUUGGCAGUAUGUACAAAUGGGAUGCAGCUAGUGAGAGGGUUUGAAAUGGUUGCUGAAUUGCAUUAAAUUGGAUUCAACUGAUCAUUCAUUUCUGUAUUUGUUGUAGAUCAACAUCCCCAUUUGCACUGGGAGUCUAUGGAUUGACUUGUCAGGUCACUUUUACAUUUGAAAUUGGAAAUCAUAGAAAGAUGUGGAGUAGAAGACUGGAUCAGGUAAGAGCUCUGAGGAAUCUUCCAAUUUGGAGAUCACGUGAUUUUGCUUCUCUUUCAGUCAACUUCAUCCAGCACUCCAGCCUUCAUCCAACAUCCAUCAUCUUUCAGUCAACUUCAUCCAGCACAUCCAGCCUGUACUUCAGGGUCUAAGUGGUGGAGGAAAGCACGCUCAUAUCCACAGAUAAAGGAACUGUCCCAACACCAUCCCUUCCAGUAGCCCUGGGUGGAUAAGUCACUUUACUUUGUGCAUUCUUUCAAAAGUAAGGGCCUUAUCCAUAGAGGCUGCUGGGAAAGAACUUACCAGCCAAACCAUUAGCAGUUUGGAGGGACUGUUGGGACAAGGCAAGAGAAGCCACAAUGAUGUCACCAUUCCUUCCAGUCACCCGUUGGAUAAAGCACCUCAUUUUGUGGAUGGACCCUCAAAGAAGGAUCUUAUUUGAAAAGAACAGGAGGUACAGAUGGGCUAUUGGAUAAUUAUGGUUACUGAACACAACCCCCUGAUGAUUGCACAACAAGAGUAUACUGGAAAAAACCUUCAGGGUGAUAAAGGAAGGCUCUUCCUUUUAUCUGUUCUGUUCCUUUACUGUUCUGUUUUGGAAUAACUUUUUUGUACAGCUUUCCAUAACUUGCAACUAAAUUUGCCUCUAGCCAAUUCAUGUGGAAUGGAACACAAAUGCACUCCCCAUUUUUAUGCUUUGUUCUGUUCUGGGGAGGGAAGGGUAUUGGACAAUUGCUUCUAAAGUUAGUUUCCUUUCUGAUAUCCUGUGACAAAAAGGUACCUCCCAUACUGGAUAGGAGCAUAGAGAAUUCGAAGAAUUCCCUAGUACCAUGACUUCCCCCGCCCCUCCCAACCAAGGCCAUCCUCCAACAAAGUGUCUUUGUCACAGGUCUUGAUUGGUUGGUUCUGCAGUUGGAACCUAACUAGGUCAGACCAAAUAUUCUGUUCCCUCAUGCUUUGUUUUUUCCCAAAUAGUACAUUUUUAUAGAUUUUGUUAAACUUGUUAAACAUUAAACAUAGCUUUUAGAGGAGAACCUUCUAGCCCAUGAUUUCAGAGAAGGUGGCAACUAUACACUGCCUCUUAAAAUCCAUGUUUCUUGUUCUCCAGACCUAUCUCUGAAGACUUUCAUUUAGGCAAAAGGCAUAUUCCUAUUCUUCUCAUUCAGCUUAAUAUCCUUUUGCAGGGAUCUGAAUGUUCCUUGAGCAAAUACUUGGGGAGGCCCAGAAUUCAAAGGGACCAAUAUGGAGUCCAGUCUUCACCUCAAAACUUAAAGAGUUAGUGGACUUAAAUUUUAGAAUGAGGUAUUUGUUUUGGAGCAUGGCCAAUUUACUCUUGAGUAUAUGUUUCUUCUGAGAGAUUUAUUAUUUAUUUUGUUGUUUUUAAAUUGGGGUGGAGGAAUGAAGUGGGAGGAGACAAAAUAAAGGUUAUAAAAAUAAACGUAGGAAUAGAAUUGACCAUUCAUUUUGUAAAAGACCAUCCUAUUUUAGACAGAGGAUGCAUUGGCUGAAUUCUUCGAUCACCGUCAUCUCUGAGGCUGCAUGUCAUACAUAGAAGCAUCUGAUGCACUGAUUGGUAUAUUCUGAGAUGUCUAACAGGCUUGACUUCCCAUGAUUGUACCUUUGCUCUUUUAACAGACUUUCUCUAGCACUACAGGUCACAAUUAGUCUUUCAGAAGCAUAAGCAGAUCUAACAGAAAAGCCCCUAUCCUGCCUCCAUCCCUUCCAGCUGCCACAUUUGCACAAGGUGCUCUAUUCUGUGAAUUCUCUCCUGAAGAGCUCCUUGUUCGUAGUGGCUGUUGGCGAAGAACUUGGCAGCGAAACACUGGAGAGUAUGCAAGGACCUUUGGGACAAGGAUCAGCAACCUGAAAAACUGGAUGGUUGUUCCUCUAGACUUUCCUUGAAGACUUCCAGAGAUGUUGAGCCAGGGAGACCCUACUUCCUCCAAAUGCAGCUCAUUAUAUUCAUGGAUAACUCUGACUGAAACCACAGUUUUCCUGACAUUAAGCCUGAAUUUUCUGCUAGCAAAUACACGUAGAGCGCCAGGAUUCCAGAGAGUGAAAGAUGAAGUACGCCAUUCAACUCUUGACAGAGAGGUGAUAGAUUUAAACUGAAGAAGGAUACUCCUGGACCCAGCCAAUGAGGGGAUUUGCUUAAAUUUACUAUGUAUUUGGUAAGAUUUAAAUCUUUUUUCUUUGUUGUUUUUGUUUUAUGGUAUAUGUGUGUGUGUGUGCUGGGAGAGCUAGAACAGGAGGGAAAAUUGCUGCUUUGAAAUAUAUGUGUUGAAUUGAAUUUAAAAGAAUCCAACAGACCAUUGUUUUGUUAUAGAUAAUUUCACAUUCUGCAGGAAAGGGGAAUGAAUUGGUUGACUUCUGAGGUCACCAUUUAUUGUCUCUUAGUCUAGAAGUUUUACUUGAUGGUGGAUUGGAUAAAGUAAAAACUCUUUGGCAAUUUAUCUUGAGGACUUGAGUUUCCAGGACUCUACUCUUCCACCAACUUCAUCCAGCAUAUUUUUGACCCAACAAGCUAUAAUUGAGCAGCUUGGAAGAAUGAGAAAAAGCAAUGGUUCUCUCACCAUUUCUCCGCCACGCAUUCUUCAUUUAGUAGAUUCUGUGCAAAGAAUAGUAUCCAUAUAGGAUGUUGGUAGAGUAAUUUGUAUCUAAACUCCCCUGAAUUUGGAAGGACUUUUGUCGAAAGGUUCUUUAUCCUGCCAAACCUCCAAUGAUAGUGGAUUCAGACUCUGAUCGAUUUCUCUAAGGUUUAAAAGGACCCUCUUGUCUUGAAAUUCUAUUUCAGUUAGCUCUAAUUAUGUGGAUAUUUCCACUAUAUGAAACUUUAAAUUUGUCUGACCUAGCUCCAGAUGCCCCACAAAGCUUGCUUCAAGCCACCUUUGGCCAUGGGAACAAACUGUUCUCAUCUGCCCCUUAUGCCAAGGGAGGUCUUCACACACUUGGGAUAGGUGUCUUUUAACUCGCUGAUUGAUGAGUUUGAGGCUGAAUUGUGUGGCCACUGUGUGGAGCUUCUUGGAGGUAUAGUGAGAGAUGGGUGAAAGCUGGACGCUCAAACUCAAAAGUGGAUGAGCAGUCCUGAAAAGGGAUACUGGCAAGUCCUCACACCAGAGGUGCUAGCUAGUCUUUUCUGAACACCUUAUACACCCUACAUUCUAUUUUAGGUUAUUUUUAGUUAUGUAAGCAUUUUCCCGUCGUAUUAACAUAAAAUUCACCACAUUCUGGUUAAUUUUGCAAUAUAAGCUGAAUUGAAUAUCAUUACAUUGACCAUCCAUUUGGGAGAAUGGAAUACUUGACCUCUUGGGUCACUCUGUAUGCCAAGAUUUAACAUAACGUGACCUUGUGUUUGAAGUGUUAAGUGUGGAUAUUUGAAAACAUUCAGCUUGAGGGUCCCAGGACCAAGCCAACCCAUCUCCUCUUGCCAGAAUGAUCUCCAUCUGCCUCCGUUGUAUAGACGUCACAUUUUAUAGUUAAUGAUAAAAGUCACGCCUUGUACAACGGAGGCAUUUGGUGAAGAACCUUCUCGCCAAACAAGGAGGAUUUGGGAGGUGUUUGGGACAAGGAGUUCUGUCCUCUUAAUGCCCACAUGAUUUACAGUUCAGACUUUCCUUGAAGUCUCCCAUGGAAGUGAGGUCAGGGUCCCUACUGCCAACUAUGUAACCAAUUUUACUGGAUGUUGAGAGAUAGCCUGUCAAAUCUUAACUCCAUUUCCUUAAAAGAGGUUAGGACUUUUUUGGACUAAGGAUGAAUUCCACUCCUAUCUUGACAGUGAUUAUGGACAUGAAAUGCAAAAUUAGUUCACUUUUUUAACAUGACCAGGAAGAGGACUUCAUUUAUGUAUAUUCAUUCAUUCAUUCAUUCAUGUACAUUUGAUAGGAUCUUUUCUUUUUUUAAGUUCCCUACUGGAAAUGUGUAUGUGUGUGCUGGGGGUAGUAGGGAAAAAUGGAGAUUAUGAAGUUAAUUGUCUCGCAUACACUUGGGUGAAUUGAAUUGUAUUCUCAAUUGACUUUUCAUUUCUGAGCUAUGUUGUUGAAAUUUAUUCAGGCAGGGGCAUGGAUUGGUUGGCUUCUGAGGGCAUUUUCACCUGAGAUUUGAACUCGAAGAAACUCUAGCUUGUGAUGGAUUAGACAAGGUAAAAAUUUGCAGGAUGUAAUUGGCCAGAAUUCCUAUGAUUGCCUUUUCAUUUUCUUCUGCUGCAUUCAUCAGUACUAUGGAUUACAACUCCAUGGAUAAGAAGAAUGUAAUGAUCUUUCUACCAUUCCUCCAGCCGCCUCAUGUGGACACAGUCCUUCAUUUUGUUAAUUUUGUGAAAAGAAGGAUCGUGUCCAUAGAGGCUACUGGUGAAGAAUUUUGCAACUAAACAUCCAUGAAGAUAGAGGCAUUGUUGGACACAGACAGCGACUGGCAAUCCUGUAAUGAUUGUGUAUUAAUACUCUGGUAAUCAAAGUUAAGCUGUCUUGGGAAACCCAUUGACUUUUAGGUUACUCUAAUUAUUUGGACAUUUUUCCAACAUUUUACUUAAAUUUUCCUUUAAACAAUUCAUGCCGAAUUGAAUCUCUUGACAUUGGCCAGCCCAUUCUCACACUGUACUAGAGUCUCCUUCAACUUCAAAUAGAGGAAUUGAAUUGCUGCAUCCCGAGGUCAUUGUCCAAGCACAGAGAAAGCCAAUUCCUGCCCCAUGUAUAAGAGUGGAUAAGGUCAACUCUUGAGGAUAUAUAUGUACUAUUUGGAAAUAAGUGACCCAACACAACACUGUUGCUACCAUUUUCUAUUAUUUGGAUCUUUACAAGGAACAUAGUAACCUAAGAGAACUUUGUUCCCGUGACCAUGCCUUCCAUCUGACCCAGUUGUUGAAUCACAUUUUAUAGAUUAUGAUGACCAUCACCUUGUGUUCAACAGUGGCAUUUGGAGAAGAACCUCCUAGCCAGACACCCAGGAUUUCAGAGGCAUUUGGGACAAGAUUCUACACAGAAGAUUUGUAUCCAUGUAGAACGUUGGGAAGAUUCUUUGUGGCAAAUUAAAUGUUGUAGGACUUUGCAGAAAAGAUCUCUGCCAUGUUAAACACUCCUGAUGAUACUGGAUCUACACUCUGGCUGAUGAUCUCCUGGGAGAAGAGGAUCUAAGUAUUGCCAUCUUAAACUCAUUCUAUUUUAGGCUAGUUCUAAUUAUUUGGGUAUUUUCUCUACAUCUUGGUUAAUUGUGCAACUUCCACAACAUCACUACUACAACAUCCAAGAGACUGGCUCUGAAGGACAAAGCAUUACGACAACCCAUCUCCUGACAUGCCCUCCAUCCAUAGGCCCCAGUUGUACAGAUAUCACAUUUUAUAAUUAAUGAUAAAAAGUCAUGUCAUGUACAACUGGGGCAUUUGGUGACGAACUUCAUGAGACUACAAGGAUUUCGGCGCUGCUUGGAAAAGGGAGUGUUGCUGUCUAAAUCCUGGAUUAUUUUGAGUCUGAACUUUCUUCUGUGGAUGUGGUUUAGAGAAUUCCCUAAGGCCAUUUAAUGCUGGUAAUUAAAAUUGUGCAUAGCUUUGAAUGUCAGGAGGAUUUCCUGUUAUCAGGUCACAAUGUAGUUUUCUCAAAUGCUACCCACCCUCAUGAUGGAGAUGUGAUACAGGAGGAAUUGGGAGUUUUUGGAAAAGAACAAUGAGGGGUGGUACUUAAGGUGAUUUUUCUAAAGUUAUACUGUGUGUGUUAGUGUGUGUGUGUGUGUGUUUGAGGUUGAAUAUGGACAACUAAGAUCUUUUAGUUUUCAUGAUUCCAGGAUUCUAUGGGUCGUUUUUUAUCCAAUGCCAUCCAAAGCAUAUUCAAUUUUUCAUUUGACUGCAAUUGGAACGUAAGAAAAAUCUAUCCUGCCACUAUGCGCCUUCAUGUGCCUUGGUUGUAGGAGAUACGACUAAAACUGUAUUUAACACAAUAAUGGUUCUUGAACUAACUGUUCAAAGACAGUUGGGAUAAGGUUACUCUGCUCU
Monodelphis domestica (gray short-tailed opossum) is the source of this 8888-nucleotide non-coding RNA. NCBI's taxonomy places the organism in Eukaryota, Metazoa, Chordata, Mammalia, Didelphimorphia, Didelphidae. The record is from RefSeq and is a predicted model, not a curated record.